AUUGAACGCUGGCGGCAGGCCUAACACAUGCAAGUCGAGCGGAUGAAGGGAGCUUGCUCCUGGAUUCAGCGGCGGACGGGUGAGUAAUGCCUAGGAAUCUGCCUGGUAGUGGGGGAUAACGUCCGGAAACGGGCGCUAAUACCGCAUACGUCCUGAGGGAGAAAGUGGGGGAUCUUCGGACCUCACGCUAUCAGAUGAGCCUAGGUCGGAUUAGCUAGUUGGUGGGGUAAAGGCCUACCAAGGCGACGAUCCGUAACUGGUCUGAGAGGAUGAUCAGUCACACUUGAACUGAGACACGGUCCAGACUCCUACGGGAGGCAGCAGUGGGGAAUAUUGGACAAUGGGCGAAAGCCUGAUCCAGCCAUGCCGCGUGUGUGAAGAAGGUCUUCGGAUUGUAAAGCACUUUAAGUUGGGAGGAAGGGCAGUAAGUUAAUACCUUGCUGUUUUGACGUUACCAACAGAAUAAGCACCGGCUAACUUCGU
RNAcentral lists this ribosomal RNA (483 nucleotides) under uncultured bacterium. RNAcentral's name for it is "partial 16S ribosomal RNA". It matches the Rfam family "Bacterial small subunit ribosomal RNA", at positions 30 to 506 of the family's 1533-position model. The record is from RNAcentral.